ACUACGGGUGGCAGCAGUGGGGGAUAUUGGACAAUGGGGGAAACCCUGAUCCAGCGACGCCGCGUGAGUGAAGAAGUAUUUCGGUAUGUAAAGCUCUAUCAGCAGGGAAGAAAGAAAUGACGGUACCUGAGUAAGAAGCCCCGGCUAACUACGUGCCAGCAGCCGCGGUAAUACGUAGGGGGCAAGCGUUAUCCGGAAUUACUGGGUGUAAAGGGAGCGUAGACGGUAAUGCAAGUCUGGAGUGAAAGGCGGGGCCCCAACCCCCGGACUGCUCUGGAAACUGUGUAACUGGAGUGCAGGAGAGGCAGGCGGAAUUCCUAGUGUAGCGGUGAAAUGCGUAGAUAUUAGGAGGAACACCAGUGGCGAAGGCGGCCUGCUGGACUGUAACUGACGUUGAGGCUCGAAAGCGUGGGGAGCAAACAGGAUUAGAUACCCGGGUAGUC
This 443-nucleotide ribosomal RNA is filed under the name uncultured bacterium. RNAcentral's name for it is "partial 16S ribosomal RNA". It matches the Rfam family "Bacterial small subunit ribosomal RNA", at positions 338 to 795 of the family's 1533-position model. The record is from RNAcentral.